This 495-nucleotide ribosomal RNA is filed under the name uncultured bacterium. RNAcentral's name for it is "partial 16S ribosomal RNA". It matches the Rfam family "Bacterial small subunit ribosomal RNA", at positions 28 to 507 of the family's 1533-position model. The record is from RNAcentral.
GACGAACGCUGGCGGCGUGCCUAAUACAUGCCAGUAGAACGCUGAAGGAGGAGCUUGCUUCUCUGGAUGAGUUGCGAACGGGUGAGUAACGCGUAGGUAACCUGCCUGGUAGCGGGGGAUAACUAUUGGAAACGAUAGCUAAUACCGCAUAACAGUAGAUAUCGCAUGAUAUCUACUUGAAAGGAGCAAUUGCAUCACUACCAGAUGGACCUGCGUUGUAUUAGCUAGUUGGUGAGGUAACGGCUCACCAAGGCGACGAUACAUAGCCGACCUGAGAGGGUGAUCGGCCACACUGGGACUGAGACACGGCCCAGACUCCUACGGGAGGCAGCAGUAGGGAAUCUUCGGCAAUGGACGGAAGUCUGACCGAGCAACGCCGCGUGAGUGAAGAAGGUUUUCGGAUCGUAAAGCUCUGUUGUAAGAGAAGAACGAGUGUGAGAGUGGAAAGUUCACACUGUGACGGUAUCUUACCAGAAAGGGACGGCUAACUACGUG